RNAcentral lists this ribosomal RNA (68 nucleotides) under Mesorhizobium temperatum. RNAcentral's name for it is "partial 23S ribosomal RNA". The record is from RNAcentral. Lineage: Bacteria; Pseudomonadati; Pseudomonadota; Alphaproteobacteria; Hyphomicrobiales; Phyllobacteriaceae.
GUGUGGAAGAGCGGCAACGCUUGAAGCUUACCGGUACUAAUAGUUCGAUCGGCUUGAUCGUUCUCAUU